UAGAGUUAAUUGUCAUCAGCAAAAAUUCUAGCUCAUAAAAUUAGCAUGUUCCAUAGAAGACUUUAACCUAGAGUUUUUAGAGCAAUAAAGAAGUGGCAAAGCAAUAUACUUUUGCAGCCAUUUGUCGAAACUUGAUUCUUUCAUGUCUAGUACAAGGAGUGAGCUUCGGCUCAACUCAUGUCUAGUACAAGGAGUGGGCUUCGCCUCAACUCAUAUUUAAUACAAGAAGAGGCUUCAACUCAACUCGUAUAUAAUACGAGGAGUGAGGUUUGACUUGAUACAUACUGGCACCA
RNAcentral lists this long non-coding RNA (293 nucleotides) under Elaeis guineensis (African oil palm). Its description in RNAcentral is "long non-coding RNA (EGUI_LNC025768)". Lineage: Eukaryota; Viridiplantae; Streptophyta; Magnoliopsida; Arecales; Arecaceae. The record is from RNAcentral.